Helianthus annuus (common sunflower) is the source of this 552-nucleotide long non-coding RNA. RefSeq lists it as uncharacterized. The transcript has 3 exons. Lineage: Eukaryota; Viridiplantae; Streptophyta; Magnoliopsida; Asterales; Asteraceae. The record is from RefSeq and is a predicted model, not a curated record.
UCAGAUGGGCGUUUUGAACAGUUACGAUGUUUGGAGCCGUCCUCCGUGGAUGAACGCCGUGUGCGGUUGCUCCGGCAGAUGUCAAAAUUGAAAGCGAUUCUUCCAAGAAUUUCAUGAGUGGGAAUCCGUCAAGUUUCAAUGAUGUUAAAAGUCAACGAAUUAUUUAAGAAAAGGUUGAUUCCUGGUUGUGGUUGUUAAUCAAGGAGUAUUUAUAUAACUGCCGGAAGUCUAUUUCUAUAUUUUUCCGACGGGCCAUUGAGCAUUUGUUCCAAGCGAGAUGUCUGAUAGGUUUGGAGAAGUGGCGAGCGGGCCAACCCAAGACCCAUCUACCAACAGUAGCGACGCUGGCGAUUUCGAGUGCAACAUAUGCUUUGACUUGGCCCAAGACCCGAUCGUCACUUUAUGCGGGCAUCUUUUUUGCUGGCCCUGCCUUUACAAAUGGCUUCACCUACAUUCACAUUCUCAAGAAUGCCCUGUUUGUAAAGCCCAAAUUGAAGAAGGAAAGUUAGUCCCUUUAUACGGUAGAGGAAAGGAGUCAACCAAUCGAAGAUC